This 87-nucleotide transfer RNA is filed under the name Colletotrichum sublineola. It matches the Rfam family "tRNA". From Rfam's summary of the family: Transfer RNA (tRNA) molecules are approximately 80 nucleotides in length. Lineage: Eukaryota; Fungi; Ascomycota; Sordariomycetes; Glomerellales; Glomerellaceae. The record is from Rfam by way of RNAcentral.
UCCCAUGUAGUAUAGUGGUUAGUAUACUCCGCUUUCAUGCGUCCAGUGAGACCCGGAGAGUCCCGAGUUCGAACCUCGGCGUGGGAA